UUCUCUCUUGAGUGGAUCCUGAGUACGACGGAGCACGUGAAAUUCCGUCGGAAUCUGGGAGGACCAUCUCCUAAGGCUAAAUACUCUCUAGUGACCGAUAGUGAACCAGUACCGUGAGGGAAAGGUGAAAAGUACCCCGGAAGGGGAGUGAAAGAGAACUUGAAACCGUGUGCUUACAAGUAGUCAGAGCCCGUUAAUGGGUGAUGGCGUGCCUUUUGUAGAAUGAACCGGCGAGUUACGAUCUGAUGCAAGGUUAAGCAGCAAAUGUGGAGCCGCAGCGAAAGCGAGUCUGAAUAGGGCGUUGAGUAUUUGGUCGUAGACCCGAAACCAGGUGAUCUACCCUUGGUCAGGUUGAAGUUCAGGUAACACUGAAUGGAGGACCGAACCGACUUACGUUGAAAAGUGAGCGGAUGAACUGAGGGUAGCGGAGAAAUUCCAAUCGAACUUGGAGAUAGCUGGUUCUCUCCGAAAUAGCUUUAGGGCUAGCCUCAAGUGAUGAUUAUUGGAGGUAGAGCACUGUUUGGACGAGGGGCCCCUCUCGGGUUACCGAAUUCAGACAAACUCCGAAUGCCAAUUAAUUUAACUUGGGAGUCAGAACAUGGGUGAUAAGGUCCGUGUUCGAAAGGGAAACAGCCCAGACCACCAGCUAAGGUCCCAAAAUAUAUGUUAAGUGGAAAAGGAUGUGGCGUUGCCCAGACAACUAGGAUGUUGGCUUAGAAGCAGCCAUCAUUUAAAGAGUGCGUAAUAGCUCACUAGUCGAGUGACACUGCGCCGAAAAUGUACCGGGGCUAAACAUAUUACCGAAGCUGUGGAUUGUCCUUUGGACAAUGGUAGGAGAGCGUUCUAAGGGCGUCGAAGCAUGAUCGCAAGGACAUGUGGAGCGCUUAGAAGUGAGAAUGCCGGUGUGAGUAGCGAAAGACGGGUGAGAAUCCCGUCCACCGAUUGACUAAGGUUUCCAGAGGAAGGCUCGUCCGCUCUGGGUUAGUCGGGUCCUAAGCUGAGGCCGACAGGCGUAGGCGAUGGAUAACAGGUUGAUAUUCCUGUACCACCUAGUAUCGUUUUAAUCGAUGGGGGGACGCAGUAGGAUAGGCGAAGCGU
RNAcentral lists this ribosomal RNA (1098 nucleotides) under Klebsiella pneumoniae. RNAcentral describes it as "partial 23S ribosomal RNA". It matches the Rfam family "Bacterial large subunit ribosomal RNA", at positions 390 to 1494 of the family's 2925-position model. The record is from RNAcentral. Lineage: Bacteria; Pseudomonadati; Pseudomonadota; Gammaproteobacteria; Enterobacterales; Enterobacteriaceae.